RNAcentral lists this ribosomal RNA (920 nucleotides) under Chryseobacterium joostei. RNAcentral describes it as "bacterial SSU rRNA". It matches the Rfam family "Bacterial small subunit ribosomal RNA", at positions 87 to 1004 of the family's 1533-position model. Lineage: Bacteria; Pseudomonadati; Bacteroidota; Flavobacteriia; Flavobacteriales; Weeksellaceae. The record is from RNAcentral.
UCUUGAGAGCGGCGUACGGGUGCGGAACACGUGUGCAACCUGCCUCAUUCUGGGGGAUAGCCUUUCGAAAGGAAGAUUAAUACCCCAUAAUAUAUUUUUCGGCAUCGAAAGAUAUUGAAAACUCCGGUGGAUAGAGAUGGGCACGCGCAAGAUUAGAUAGUUGGUGAGGUAACGGCUCACCAAGUCUGCGAUCUUUAGGGGGCCUGAGAGGGUGAUCCCCCACACUGGUACUGAGACACGGACCAGACUCCUACGGGAGGCAGCAGUGAGGAAUAUUGGACAAUGGGUGAGAGCCUGAUCCAGCCAUCCCGCGUGAAGGACGACGGCCCUAUGGGUUGUAAACUUCUUUUGUAUAGGGAUAAACCUACCCUCGUGAGGGUAGCUGAAGGUACUAUACGAAUAAGCACCGGCUAACUCCGUGCCAGCAGCCGCGGUAAUACGGAGGGUGCAAGCGUUAUCCGGAUUUAUUGGGUUUAAAGGGUCCGUAGGCGGAUCUGUAAGCAUGUGGUGAAAUCUCACAGCCAUACUGUGAAACUGCCAUUGAUACUGCAGGUCUUGAGUGUUGUUGAAGUAGCUGGAAUAAGUAGUGUAGCGGUGAAAUGCAUAGAUAUUACUUAGAACACCAAUUGCGAAGGCAGGCAUCAUAGCAACAACUGACGCUGAUGGACGAAAGCGUGGGGAGCGAACAGGAUUAGAUACCCUGGUAGUCCACGCCGUAANCGAUGCUAACUCGUUUUUGGGUUUUCGGAUCAUGAGACUAAGCGAAAGUGAUAAGUUAGCCACCUGGGGGAGUACGAACGCAAGUUUGAAACUCAANGGAAUUGACGGGGGCCCGCACAAGCGGUGGGACAUUGUGGUUUUAAUUCGAUGAUACGCGAAGGAACCCAUCCAAGGCUUAAAUGGGGAAAUGACAGGUUUUA